Molecule: long non-coding RNA, 9498 nt
Filed under: Mus pahari (shrew mouse)
Lineage: Eukaryota; Metazoa; Chordata; Mammalia; Rodentia; Muridae
Description: lncRNA (MGP_PahariEiJ_G0005942.1)
Source: RNAcentral
GCGUGCUGCCUGACCACCACCCUUGCCACUGGUCAGCUAGACACUUUAAUGCAUGUGCUAUUUUAUUCUCUCCUGUUUGGUUUGGCUUGAGACUAUGUAACCUACUAUGUAACCCUGGCUGGUCUGGAACUCACUAUGUAGACCAGGAUGGCCUUGAAUUCACAAAGAUCCCCUUGCUUCUACCUCCUGGCUGCUGGAAUUAAAGGUGUAUACCACUAUAGCCCCUCCCCCCCUUUUUAUUUUUGAGGAAGUGUCUUGUCUGGAGUCCAGACUGGCCUUGAACUCCCUAUGAGGCCCAAAAUAGUCUUGAAUUCAAAAUCCUUAAUCCUUCUGCUAGUCUCUGCAGUGUUAUAAUUAUAUGCACCACGACAUCUUGUUAGAUCUACCUUUUGCUACUAGUGAUUUUAGUAUUGUAAAAACAGAGUACUUCAUUGUGAAUAUUAUAGUGAAGUUGUUAAGAAAAUGGCAACUAUAUUCUAUCCUUAAAAGGACUCCUUUAAAACAGUGGUAUAUAUGUAUGGAAAUGUAACAGUACCCAUUAUUUUGUAUGCUAGCUAAAAAAUUAAUUUUAAAAAAUCUUGUUUAGACAUUGUAGAUUUAAAGUAAAAGAUUCAUGUGUGAUUAAUUUAUUAGAAUCUGUCUAUAAGUAAAAGAGCCAUUCUGGGCAAAUAGUUGCUGACAAAAUCACCAAUUUUUUUUUUCUUUAAAGAAAGAAACCACUGAUAAUAGAAAUUGUUAUUCAGGUUUACUAAGAUUUUUGUUUUACAGGAGCUUAUGUUAGAGGUUGUUUGUGUUGUUUUCUUUCUUGAGAUAGGGUCUCAAGAACCCUAGGCUAGCCUCAACCUAUAUUUAGCUGAUCCUCCUGUCUCUCCCUUUGAAGUGCUAGAUCACAGAUGUAUACCACCAUUGCUCUCUCUUCUUUCUUCUGGACACACAGGUUGACCAGAUGUCUGGUCUGGACUCUCCCCCUCACCCUUCCAAUGUGAGGUACCAUAUCCAGCAUAUUCAAACACUUCUAAAAGCAGUCUCCAUACCAAACAGACCAUGGUAGCUAAUGCCUGUGCUCUCAGUAAUAGGAGGCUGAAGCAGGAGGAUGGACAGUUCCUGAGACCUUGGUUGAAUGGAUGGAUGGGUAUCAUCCAAGCACAGAGUUGCAGUUACUACAGAGGCUGGGCAGCAUACGUUCCAAGCCCGGUGCUGACUGCUGCGGUGCACCACGCAGACCUGCAGUCCGUACUAAGUUCAGGCUGUAUGUGGUAAUCUCCCCAUGACUGCAGAUGAAGGGCUGUGCCUGUCAGUAUCCACUACCCCAGCCUAGACAGCUGACCCCAAAAGCCCUGAAGGUGAAUAAGUAGCAGGUAGGUAUGUGCCUAAAUUCUACAUUAACAUGACCAUAGAUACUUUCAGUCUAAGCCUUUCUGUUUUAGAAAUGGCCAUUGAUAGUGUUUCUACCUAAAACAAAGAUUUGGGUUUUAUUGUGGUUACUGGGUUGCAAGAAACUGUUCCUGAGGUAAGCACUGAACGGAGCAGGGAUGUGAUGAUCGCUUUUGAUUAUUUCAGUGUGAAACUUCUGUAAAUAUAUAUAAGUUUAAGGUAGGCAUGGUGGCACACAUCUUUAAUCCCAGCAACUGAGUAGGCAGAGGCAGAUGGAUCUCUUCAAGUUCAAGGUCAGCCUGGUUUAUAUACAGGAGUACUCACUCUAGAUAGGUAGGUAGGUAGAUAGGUAGGUAGGUAGGUAGAUAUCUCUGAUUCAAAUGUAGUCAAAAUAUAGAUAAUCUGAAUUCUAACACUUAUCCAGGACCACUCAGACCUGAGAACUGUUACCUGAUCUUAUGCUAAAUAAGAAGGGAGUCUGAGAGUUGCCGAGAGGGCUGCUGGUUUGUCUGUCUUAAGUCUCCUCAAAGCCCAGCAGGUGCCCUUCCAGAACUAGGUGGUCAGUGGCCCUGCUGGAGGAGGCCCUUUUCAAGCUAUAGACAGAGAAUGGCAGUGUCUUAUUGGGGGACAUUAUUUCUCCUGAUGUUAAGAAAAUAACUCUCCACCAGAAGUCACAUCUUAAGUGAUCAUUAGGUGGGUUGUUUUGUUUUGUUUUGUUUAAUUAAAGCUUCAAAGCAAGAUUAAAGAUUGAAUUUAGGUAGAAUUAGCAUUAAUAGUCAAUCUUUUCUGUAAUUUAUAACAAGAAAAAAAAAGUGUCCCCAAAGUGAUGGUUAGGUUAGUUAAAUAUUGUAGUAAGGAGAGAAAUCCAUUGAGACCUCAGGGUAAUAAGCAGGGGUUAGCAGAAAGGUGACACUGUUCAUUUCUGUGACAUUUCUGGCUAAACAAGCUUUUGUAGACCCACUGGGAAUAUAACCACUAUUUUCAUGGGAAAAUAAAUUCCAGGUUCCAGUCAAGUAAUUUAGAGAUGUUGUGGAACACAGCCACUAAUAAGUUUAGAGUUGUGUGCUCCAGAGUCCCUAUCACGCCAUUUUGAUAGAUAGCUAGAGUUCAGCAGUAAGGGGAAAUGGGGUAAAUCGACUCUUACAGAUAAAAAUGAAGAUUAACUAUGAUCAUAGCUCAGAGGAGAAGACUGUCAAAGACUGAGACGGUCGUAGCACAGAAGAAAGGGAAAUCCCAGUGACUCAGAUCAGAUUGUCCCCCCCCUUACUCUGUAUGCAGUGCCGCUCCUAGGUGUCACAUGAUAUCAUAGAUAUUUGUGGUUUGUUUUAUUCUGUUUUGUUCUAGUAAGAGAGAUGAGGCCUCAGACUAGCCUGGCUUUAACGCCGUAAGCCAGACUGGCCUGGAAGCUGUGGAGUCCUUCAGUCGCAGACACCCAAGUGUUAGGAUUGCAGGCGUUCCUUAGCCAUCAUGUCUGGCUUUCUUUUAGACUUGGACCCAGAAGGAGGAACAGUGCAGUGGCUCAGCAGAGAAAGACCCUUGCUGCACUGCCCUGGCAACCUGGGUUCAAUCCCUGGCCCCCAGAUAAAGGUGAUAGGAGAGGUCUGACUCCACAGAGCUAUCCUCUGACCCUCACAUGUGCACCGCGGUACUCAUGCCUCUACGCUGCCACAUGAUAACGAAUAAUUCUCUAAUCAGAAUAGGAAAGAGAUGAGGCCAGAGCCUUCUGUUUGCCUGCUACUGUACUGCCUCUUGUUGUGCCUUCAUCUCUGCCUUAAGGUGACAGGGCAGAGUGUUGCCCAGCAUACCCAAGGCCUAGAGUGUGAUCCCCAGCCCUAGUCAAAAAAAGGCUUAACAUGGUGUGUCUGCGUGUGCUUCUGGAAUGGGUCAAAAACAGUGACAGGAAACACUGCUGCUGCAUUGAUAAGGGUGAAAUGUGUAGCAUCGCAUGCGUGCGCGCACACACACACACACACACACACACACACACACACACACAGAGUUGCUGGCAGCACUAAAUACAUCCAUGGGAACUUGUUGACUAAUCAUGAUGUAUCCCACCUAGAACAUCUCAUCAAAAUGUAGUGUGCCCAUGCUAUUAUAUUAAGGUCACCCUGUAAAAUAGACAUGAAGGAGCCAACAAGAUUCAUGGAAUCAUGGGGUGGGUGGGUGGGUGGGUGGGUGGGGGAGCAAUGCAAAGGUUUUUUUCUUGUGGAAAAUCAAAUUAAAUAGGUGUUGUAGUUUGACUGUGAAAUGCCACACCCUAUCACACACUGGCCUUUUUUGCCCACUGAUGACCUUGUAGGAAGUGAUUAGAUGAUUAGGCUUCAGGAUUUAUAGAUGGAUUGAUCCACUGAUAGUUGAUAGUCUGAUGGCAUUAUUGAGUUCUGGUUGGAAGAAGUGGGCCACUGAUGGUGUGCCUUUGAGAACUGUAUCCUGUUCCCAGCUGUGCUUCUAGGUUCCUGCUUCCUGGCUGCCUGGCUGUGAGCAGCUUUACUCCUGUAUAUUCAUCUACCAUGAUGCUCUGCCUCUGCCUCACCGUGACCUAGAAACCUCUGAAACAGUGAGCCAAAAUAAACCUGCCCACCCUUUCAGUCAUCUCUUUCUGGAAUUUGGCACUUCAAAGGAAGUCUGAACAUAACUGGGUUGAUACUAAAGUCCAUGAAAGAAGAUUCUUUUUUUUUUUCUUCAAGAUUUUUAUUUAUAUGAGUACACCGUUGCUGUCUUCAGACACACCCCAGAAGAGGGCAUCAGAUCCCAUUACAGAUGGUUGUGAGCCACCAUGUGGUUGCUGGGAAUGGAACUCAGGACCUCUGGAAGAGCAGUCAGUGUUCUUAACCACUGACCCAUCUCUCCAGCCCAGAAAAAAGAUUCUAAACCUUAUUUACCUGUGAGUCAAAAGGAAUGUGUGGAUCUAAAGAGAGAUGUGUAAGAAAGAAGGAAGUGCUGGAGAGAGAGAAGGAGAAACGAAAGGCGUCAGGGGUAUUUUGUUUAUGUUGUUUUUGCUUUAUUUGGAGACAGGCUCAUAUAGCCCAUGAUGGCCUAGAACUCUGUAGCCAAGGUUAGCCUUGAUCUUUUGAUCCUUUUGCCUCCAUGUAUAGAAUCUUGGCAUUGCAGGCAUGAACCAACAUAGCCAGUUUAUGCAGAACUGAUUGAUGAUAGGACCCUAGCUCCCCAGCAAGCCCCAGUCAUACAUAGCUUAUUUUAAAUAUUGGCGCAAGUGGACUUAAAGGGUAACUUUUUUUCCCCUGAGUUUUGCUGUCACUAUAGAUGGCUCUGUACCAUAACAAAAAUUUUAUAAGACUGUCUUUCAUUAUACAAGUUUCCUUUAAAUCAUUGGGUGUUGGGGGUGGCAGACGACAACACAUGAUGGGGACCCAACCUUUCAACUGAGAAAAUAAAAGUAAAUCUUCCCAUAGUCAUAAACCAUUUCUGUUUCCACAGAAGUUGUAUGUCUAUUCUAAAUGUACUAGAAGCAGUUAUGUAAUUUACUACCAACAGAAUUUAUCCUUCAAAUGUCGCAACAAUGGGUCAGUCACCUCCGUUUGUGGUAGGACACACAGGUGCUUCCUGUUGCCCUGCCCAGGAUGAUGUUAACAUCAACCUCAGAGAAGGCUGUUGGGCCAGCCUGGAGCCAAAUGGUAGCCACUGUGUCUGUAUUGAGGAGGUAGGAAGAACUGUUUCUUAAAAUGUAUUUGUCUGUUUCUGGUUUUGAGACAAGAUUAUCACAUUAUAUGGCUCUGGGUAGCCUGACAUUGUAUCCCAUGCAAGCUGCAGAAUCACAGUAGACCUCCCUACUUAACUUGGCCAACACUGGGAUCAGAGGCAAGUGCCACUGUGCCCAAGAGCAGGAUGGGAGAGGUAGGCCAGCAGUAAAGAGCGCACCAAAGGACCUGGGUUCAAUCCCAGGCACUCACACAGUGUCUAACAACCGUCUAUACCCCAGCUCCAAGGGAUCCAACACCCUUUUCUGGCCUCUGUGGGCACCAGGCAAGCAUGUAGGAUACAGACAUACAUGUAUGAAAAACACCCAUACUCAUAAAAUAUAAAUAAAUAAAAUUUAAGAGCAAUAAAUCUUGAGUGUUUUAUACAACAGUAGUUACUAGUGGUCAGGUAAGUUAUCACAAGUAAGUGUGUCGACGCCUGAGAUAAACUAAGAAAACAGUUCAUGGCAGCCAUGACAGUGCACACUCCUAUCCCAGUAUGAAAGAGGCUGAGGCAGGCUAGUACUGUGAGUUCAGAAGUUCAAGACCAGCUUGGCCAACAUAGUGUAACUCCAUGUCAGAGUAAGUAGGGCUGAGGAUGUAGUUCUCUUGGUAGUGUGUUGGCCUCGCAGGCAUAAAGCCCUGGGUUCAAUCCCCAGCACUGUAUGAACAGGGUGUAGCAGUCUGCACCUAUAAUCCCAGCCGCUUAAGGCAAGAAGAUCCAAAGUUCAAGGUCAUCGCCAGACAGGCACAGAGACUGUUCCAAACCCUGUGGGGUUGGACGUGGGGGAAGGAAAGUAGAAUGGCGGGAUACCAUGCUAAGAAACACCAUGUAACUGUUCUCACAGGCCAUUUGUCUUUUUGUUGCAACUGUUAGAAGGAAGUUUCUGUGUUCUUCAGAUCAAAUACAUAUGUGUGUAUGCAUAAAUAUAUAGAGUACAUAUAUGUUCCAAUAUGGAAUCUUUAUGUUCUGCUGGAGUAGUAUGCUACUUUUCUGUUUUGCUUCGAGAAUAUCUUAACUGAGAUGAGAAAAAUUAAGAUUCUUAAAGACAUAUUUAUUUCAUGUGUCUGAGUGUUUUAUCUAUAUGUAUGUAAAUUUGAGUGCCAAAAGGGACUGGCGCUGGCUCCUGAGGCUGCAGUUAGAGUAGUUGUAAGCCAACGUGUGGGUGCUGGAAACGAAACUGGGUCCUCCAACAGAGCAGUAAGGAAAAGUGAAAGAUUCUUUUAAGCAGGGAGGAACAGUUUGUGUAUUUAUCGUUCUGUUUGCUGAGCUCUUUGCCCAAACAAUACUUGUAACCCUGUUGGUCACAGUGACACGUGCUUGUCUGUCUGUAGUCCCAAGUUUUCUAGAGACAGAAGCAACAGAUCACUACGGCCCAAGAGUCUGAAGUCUGUCUGGGCAAUAGAACAAGACCCAGAGAGUAGAGAGGGGGAGAGGGAAGAAGAGGGAGGGAGAAGAAGAGAGAGAAACCAAACUUAGCAUGGAAACAUUCUGGGCAUGUGUGGGGUUUUCUCAUUUCAACCAAUUCUCCCAACUCUCUGGAUAUAACAGAGUGUCCUACAGCUCAAUCAAAAGUGACACUGUGACACCAGUUACCAGAAGUUAUCAUCAGACCUCACAGGUUUAGUGGUUGAGUCCCACAAGACAACCAUCACUUCAGGUGCUAGUCCCAAGUAUCAGGUCCUCAGGCUACCCCCACUAACGUCCCACGUGGCCAAAGUGAGGUUGUCCUACAACCUGUAGUUUGAAGAUUUGCUAGAACUCAUUAUACAAACAGCAACACUCCUGGUUUAUUACAGAGUCUAACCCUGGAACAACCAAAUGGAAGAACACGAUGGCCAGGAUACUGUGGAGGUGCUGGAAAGGCACAGGGUUUCAGUGUCCUCUCUGGACACAUCACCCUCAGAGCUCAGGUGUGUGGUCUCCAUCCUGGAAGCGUCCAUACCCUGGCAUGUGGAAUACUGAUGGCCAGGCACGUAGACAUGCUUAAUUAUUAACCCCAUCUCCUGCCCCUCUUCCUUCCCUGAGGCCAUGGGGUAAGCAAAGCUUCCAGGCCUCUGAUCAAGGUUUGGUCUGGUCUCCAGUUAUUCCUAAACUGUUUGGGGGCAGGUCAAGAGUCACUCAUUAGAAAGAUACUCUUUUGACCCGGGAAUUCUAAGAGCUUUCAGAAGUCUGUGGACCAGGGACAAUGGCCAAAUAUCAGCACAGGAGGCACACACCUCUGUCAUCUGGAAGUUAUUCAGGGCAGAGAGGCUUUACGUCAGGAAGCAAGGAUAAAGAGCAUGUAUAUGUUUCUUAUACAAUACAUGCAUACACACUAUUUUGAAACAAAGCAAGAAGCAGUCAUCUAGCGCUGGGACUGGAGAGAUGGCUCAGUGGUUAAGGGUCUAGAUUCAGUUCCCAGAACCACCACGUAGAGGCUCAGUCUGUAACCCUAGUUCCAGAGGCUCGACACUCUUACACAUAAUGAACUAGUAAAGCUUUAUUAAAAUUUCUUUACAAAUGUAUUAAUUGCCCUAAUUUUCACUUUUGGAUUAUUCUCAUUAACAGGUACUCUGCUUAAUCUAUACUACCGUAUCACACCUGUUGAACCAGGCUGGCUGUCUCUGCCUCCCAAACGCUGAGGUGGACCCUAACAUGCCCGGCUUUCAAUUUUAUUUUUAUGUUUGUGUGUGUGUGUGUGUGUGUUUACAUGGACCAUGGCAUGUGGAGGUCAAAGGGCAACUUUAAGGAGUCAUUUUUUUUCCACCACAUGGGGAUCCCAUUCAGGUGGCGAGGUGUCUUUCCCCACUGAGCCAUCUCACCAGCUGUCGGCUAGGAGUGUGUCAGCACGCUACAAACACUUUUGAUUUAAGAAGGAAAUUCUUUUACUGGGCCUAGCAGCAUACACUUUUUUUUUUUUUUUUUUGAGACAGGGUCUCACUAUGUACUCUGGGUGGCCUCGAACUCGCUAUGUAGGCCACACUGGCCUGAAACCCACAGAGAUCCUCUUGCCUCUGCUUCCCCUGUGUGGCAUGCACUUUUAACCACAGCUCAGAGGCAGAGGCAGGUGGAUCUCUGAGUUUGAGGCCAGCCUGGUCUACUUAGUGCUUUCCAGACUAGCCAGGGCUACAAAAACACAACAAAGCAAUGCUUUCUUUUCAAUUACAGAUAAUGGGGAUGGGCAGGUGAAUGCAGGUGCCCUCAAGGAUCAGAAUCCCCUGCACCUGGGGUUACAGGGGAUUGGGAGCCGCCCUGUGUAGGUCCUGGGACCAAAUGGGUCACCCGCAAGUGCAGUAGGUACCCUUAACCACUGAGCCAUCUCUCAGGCCCUGUAAAUACUCCUCAUCUUAACAGCUGGAAGGACCAGCAAGAUGGCUCAGCAGGUAAAGACACCUGCUACCAAGCCUAACAACCUGAGUUGAAUCCACAGAAUCCACAUGGCAGAAAGAAAACCAACUCUUCCUGAAAACUGUCAUCUGACCUCCACUUGUGUGCCACGAUGUGCAAACACACACACACACACACACACACACACAAGACACAACUGGUGUGUACCUGUAUUUUGUUAGCAGUCUCUCCUCAGAGCUCCUCGGUUUCCCACUCUUUCCUUCCCAGUGACUCAGUCCUUCCUGUCUUUCCUGACCCCAUCACUCGGGAAAACUCCUGAUCUUAAUUUGGUAGAAUUAGUACUUUGGUUUUUUUCCCAGUGUUUUUUUUUUGUUGUUGUUGUUGUUUGUUUGUUUGUUUUCAUGAUUAGAUGAGGGUUGGUAUAUUUUUUUUUGCAAGAAUCUCAGAUGUAAUGACCUGUAGGUGAUGUCAAUGUAUUAUUAAUAAUUAUAUCGUUUUUCUAUCACCUCCAUAACAAGUUACCACAGAUUAGCCGUCUGAAAGCAACACCCAUUUCUUAUCUCAGCUUCUGGUGGUCAGAACUAUGAGUAACUUGUGCAUCUACCUAGAAAUCACAAUGCUAAAGUUCCUCUGUGGGUUGGACAGCCUUCUCAUCCAGGUUAGGUACUUAUCAGUUCCUUUCUCUAAGCUGCUAGGAGAUAUUUCCAUGGUAUUGCCACAUGACCCCCAUCUACUCAGGCAGCAGUUGUCCCUGCAAACAGUCCCCACACCUUCUCUACUUCUAGUCUCGGGUUUGAAAUGUUGCAUAAAGUUGGGCACAUGGCACAUGCCUGUAAUCCCAGCACCUGGAAGGGAGCCCGAAGUUAAGGACUGCUGCAAAUCUGAGGCCAGCCUGGAAUACAAACUGAGACCACAAUUCGAACCCUAUAUCAAAGAAAGGAAGAGGAUCAGGAAAGAGGGAGGGAGGGAGGGAAAUUGUUGUCUCCCCUCUCGUUGUUUUCACUGGUGGUGAUAAGCCACUGCAAAGGCAGUACAAGCUCUCAACCACCGAGCCGUCUCUGCCCCAUGGUUUUAUUGUUUUAUUUUAUUUUA